UACAGAGGUCCCAAGCGUUGUUCGGAAUUACUGGGCGUAAAGGGCUCGUAGGCGGCCAACUAAGUCGGACGUGAAAUCCCUCGGCUUAACCGGGGAACUGCGUCCGAUACUGGAUGGCUCGAGUGUGGGAGAGGGAUGCGGAAUUCCAGGUGUAGCGGUGAAAUGCGUAGAUAUCUGGAGGAACACCGGUGGCGAAGGCGGCGUCCUGGACCAAUACUGACACUGAGUGAGCGAAAGCCAGGGGAGCAAACGGG
Molecule: ribosomal RNA, 254 nt
Filed under: uncultured bacterium
Lineage: Bacteria
Description: partial 16S ribosomal RNA
Rfam family: Bacterial small subunit ribosomal RNA
Source: RNAcentral